GGGGAAUUGCUUAAACCUGGGAGGUGGGGGUUGCAGUGAGCUGAGAUUGCGCCACUGCACUCCAGCCUGGGUGACAGAGUGAGACCAUCUCCAAAAACAAUAAGAGUGCCUUGCUCUGGUGGUCUGAACCAGUCAUCACCCUUUUUAUCUCAUUAUUCCCUUUCCUUGGGAUUACUCCCCAUCUUCCUGUUUCUUGGCUUUGAUCACUCCCAAUUCAUUCCCAGACGACUCAUUUGGACUGAUUCUUGUGUCAGGAGACUUUACUCAUGCUGAGCCCUGAGUUCCCUGGGAAACCCACAUCUCUUUACUAAUAGGACUUUGUGUUGCAAAUGAGAAUGCCUGUUUUGAAAUGAGCAUUUGCGGACUCUGUUCUUUUUCACAAGCAUUUUUUUAAUCUAUAAAUUUAAUAUGUAUCUUUUAUUUUUUUCAUUAAGGGCUCAAAGGACUUGUCUUGAUCUGUAGUUUUGGCUACACCUGCUUGGGAAAGUGUAGUCUGGGAAUUCCUGCCGCCACUAACUCACUGAUUUCCACUUGCCUGAGAUCUAUUAGGAUUCCUCCAUUGCAGAUGUUCUGACACACUGAAGCUAUGCCUUACCUGACAAGCUAAUACCCAAUUCCUUCUAGAACUCAUGGAUUUAUAUUUCUGUUCUCUCCCCACUCUUGUCCAGACCUUUACAUCCUGGAUUCUUUACCAUUUCUGCCCCCAGGACUCUUGGAUAUUGCAUUGUCACUCAUAUCCAUAAAACACCUUAGGAACUGGACAUUAAUAUGUUAAUGUUAUUCAAAACACAUCCAUGGAAGCUCAAGUGCAAGGCAUAUACUCUAAUAAGUCUUGGGGAUUCAAAAAUGAAUGAGAAACCAUGUCUUUUCCUCUAAAAAGCAAUCUUGUAAAAUCGCGUCCAGAAGCUUCCAAGACAUUAGAGGUGACGUUGAGUUUGUAAGCUAACAUAGGGAGUCAAUUUCUUGGAUGGCAAAUGGAAAAAAUCCUUGAAGCCUCUAGUCUGUGAAUGGCUGGGGUUGGGCUUAAGAAGUUCCUGGGAAGAAGCUUGCUGACAGAGUAGAUACUCCCUGGACUGAGUCAGCCUUUCUGGAUGUGAUUCUAAUAAUGGGGUCCACAGUUGGAGAGGGAAACCCCAUUAUCAGAGUUCCCAGCUAGAAUAAGACAGACAGCCAGUGGGGCGAGUGUCAGAAGGUUUGUUUUCAUGUCUGUUAACCAAAUGGUGGCUACUGGAAAAGUGAAAAAAGAGUGAUCAAGGAAAAGGCAAGGCCAGAACGGACCUGAGGAAUGAAACACCACCUCCAGGGCACAAGGUCCCCCAGCCUGGAAGCUGCUUGCUGAUGUCCAACUCCACCCCUGCCUUCUAACCCUGCCGUAGCCAUCCCAGUGUCCUGUUCUUCCUAUGAAAGAAAAAGUCAAAUGGAUGAGCCACAAUGUCCCUACUAGGGAAAGAGAAUCUGCAAGGUAGGGAGAGAGAUAGCUAUAUAGAAAGAUACAAAGAAAUACAUAAAAAGAACAAGGCAUAGAAAUAAAAUAACAAAGAGUGACAGCAGCAGAAAAAUAACAAAAGAACUGGUUGCUUCUCCUAGGAGAAAAUCCAGAGUGCAGAGCAGUGAUGAGGGGAUUGGAGGCAAGCAACAGAUAGAGAAUGCCAGCAGAAAGCAGAAACAGAGGUGUCCAUGUCACAGACCUGGAGGGAUUCAGAGAGGGCAAAGGGCAGAAGCAGGACUUUAGCCAUAAUAUUCUGUCCCAGUGAGCCCACCGUCUGUCCCUAGCAUGCUCAUGCUUCUCCCUACACAUUCACAGCUCCUGCACAAAGACAAAACCAUAGAGGAAAGCACUCAGAAAGGAGCAGGAUGAGGGAAUGCAAAGAAAAGGCAAAUGAGGGAAGCGUUGAAAGCCUUGAUACAAUGGCCACAAAGAAGAGCUCUUCACAAUCGAAGCUUGUUAUGUUUGCUUUGCCAUCAUCCACCAUAAAGUCUGGAAUACAACCUUCUUCCCUUUUCAGUAAACAUCUACUGAGUAAAUC
This 2027-nucleotide long non-coding RNA is filed under the name Pan troglodytes (chimpanzee). RNAcentral describes it as "long non-coding RNA NONPTRT005803". The record is from RNAcentral. Lineage: Eukaryota; Metazoa; Chordata; Mammalia; Primates; Hominidae.